Molecule: ribosomal RNA, 402 nt
Filed under: uncultured bacterium
Lineage: Bacteria
Description: bacterial SSU rRNA
Rfam family: Bacterial small subunit ribosomal RNA
Source: RNAcentral
UGGGGAAUCUUGCACAAUGGGGGCAACCCUGAUGCAGCGACGCCGCGUGAGCGAUGAAGCCCUUCGGGGCGUAAAGCUCUUUCGACCGGAACGAUAAUGACGGUACCGGGAGAAGAAGCUGCGGCUAACUACGUGCCAGCAGCCGCGGUAAUACGGAGGGGGCUAGCGUUGUUCGGAAUUACUGGGCGUAAAGGGUGCGUAGGUGGUGGGGUAAGUCGGAUGUGAAAUCUCGGAGCUCAACUCCGAAAUGGCAUUGGAAACUACCCUGCUAGAGGGUCGGAGGGGGCACUGGAAUUCUCGGUGUAGCAGUGAAAUGCGUAGAUAUCGAGAGGAACACCAGUGGCGAAGGCGAGUCCCUGGACGACUCCUGACACUGAGGCACGAAAGCUAGGGGAGCAAACA